AAAAGUCGUAACAAGGUUUCCGUAGGUGAACCUGCGGAAGGAUCAUUAACACGUAUCCAAACAUUGUGCAAGGAUAGCGCUUCUACGAUUCCUGUAGACCGUACGCUCGGGCAGGAGCUUUGCCAAAGGGUCCCCAUGCCCCCUAAAAACCCCACAGUUUAAUGUGAAGCUCAAUGUAAUACAUUGGGUAAAAAAACCGAACAACUGUUAACAAUGGAUAUCUUGGUUCUC
RNAcentral lists this unclassified non-coding RNA (231 nucleotides) under fungal sp. RNAcentral's name for it is "partial internal transcribed spacer region". The stretch from base 1 to 48 matches the Rfam family "Eukaryotic small subunit ribosomal RNA", at positions 1784 to 1831 of the family's 1831-position model. The record is from RNAcentral. Lineage: Eukaryota; Fungi.